This is a non-coding RNA of Anas platyrhynchos (mallard), 451 nucleotides long. The record is from RefSeq and is a predicted model, not a curated record. Lineage: Eukaryota; Metazoa; Chordata; Aves; Anseriformes; Anatidae.
GAGGAUUUGAGAAGAGGUUGCAGAUGAUCAAGGAGCGACACGUGCAGGGAUGGCUUGAAAAGGGUGAUUAGCUUCAGGUUCCAGGUGGGACCUAGUGGUAACUGAGUUGCAGGUAUUCCAUGACAGAGCUCCUUCUGCCUGGGCUGCUUUUUGGGCCUUGGAGAGAUGAAGUCCCCAUGGUGUGGAGUGGUGCAAAAAGGUAAGAGGGUUGUCAGCCCGGUCAGUUUUCUUCACCAAUGCUAAGGCAAGUCUUUGAAGAGAAACAGCCUGGUUGCUUGUGCUGCACCCUGUUGAACUAAGCCAGACCAAAACCAGGGCUGCCGUUCCUCCUGCUCUCUUUACCUCUUCUCAUCUUGCAAAGGAAUGGUCCAGCAAUUCGGGUUAAUAGGGGACAAGAGAACAAAGGGGUUUCAGAAUAACUGCUAACUGUUAUGACUAUUGCAUGGGGCAC